Molecule: ribosomal RNA, 253 nt
Filed under: uncultured bacterium
Lineage: Bacteria
Description: partial 16S ribosomal RNA
Rfam family: Bacterial small subunit ribosomal RNA
Source: RNAcentral
UACGAAGGGGGCUAGCGUUGUUCGGAAUCACUGGGCGUAAAGGGCGCGUAGGCGGCCGAUCAAGUCGGGGGUGAAAGCCUGUGGCUCAACCACAGAAUUGCCUUCGAUACUGUUUGGCUUGAGAGCGGAAGAGGUAAGUGGAACUGCGAGUGUAGAGGUGAAAUUCGUAGAUAUUCGCAAGAACACCAGUGGCGAAGGCGGCUCACUGGCCCGAUACUGACGCUGAGGCACGAAAGCGUGGGGAGCAAACAGG